AUACGGAGGGGGCUAGCGUUGUUCGGAAUUACUGGGCGUAAAGCGCACGUAGGCGGAUUAAAAAGUUAGAGGUGAAAUCCCAGGGCUUAACCCUGGAACUGCCUUUAAAACUAGUAGUCUAGAGUUCGAGAGAGGUGAGUGGAAUUCCAAGUGUAGAGGUGAAAUUCGUAGAUAUUAGGAGGAACACCAGUGGCGAAGGCGGCUCACUGGCUCGAUACUGACGCUGAGGUGCGAAAGCGUGGGGAGCAAACAGGAUUAGAAACCCGAGUAGUCC
Molecule: ribosomal RNA, 274 nt
Filed under: uncultured bacterium
Lineage: Bacteria
Description: partial 16S ribosomal RNA
Rfam family: Bacterial small subunit ribosomal RNA
Source: RNAcentral